UACGGGGGGGGCAAGCGUUGUUCGGAAUUACUGGGCGUAAAGGGCUCGUAGGUGGCCAACUAAGUCGGUCGUGAAAUCCCUCGGCUUAACCGGGGAACUGCGUCCGAUACUGGUUGGCUUGAGUUUGGGAGAGGGAUGCGGAAUUCCAGGUGUAGCGGUGAAAUGCGUAGAUAUCUGGAGGAACACCGGUGGCGAAGGCGGCAUCCUGGACCAACACUGACGCUGAGGAGCGAAAGCCAGGGGAGCAAACGGG
RNAcentral lists this ribosomal RNA (253 nucleotides) under uncultured bacterium. RNAcentral describes it as "partial 16S ribosomal RNA". It matches the Rfam family "Bacterial small subunit ribosomal RNA", at positions 524 to 776 of the family's 1533-position model. The record is from RNAcentral.